AGAGUUUGAUUAUGGCUCAGGAUGAACGCUGGCGGCGUGCUUAACACAUGCAAGUCGAACGGACUUAUGAGAAAGCUUGCUUUUUAUAAGUAGUGGCGGACGGGUGAGUAACGCGUGGGUAACCUGCCGUAUGGCUGGGGGACAACAGUUGGAAACGACUGCUAAUACCGCAUAAGCGCACAGAGAGGCAUCUCUCAGUGUGAAAAAACUCCGGUGGCAUACGAUGGACCCGCGUCUGAUUAGGCAGUUGGCGAGGUAACGGCUCACCAAACCUACGAUCAGUAGCCGGCCUGAGAGGGUGAACGGCCACAUUGGGACUGAGACACGGCCCAAACUCCUACGGGAGGCAGCAGUGGGGAAUAUUGCACAAUGGGGGAAACCCUGAUGCAGCGACGCCGCGUGAGUGAAGAAGUAUUUCGGUAUGUAAAGCUCUAUCAGCAGGAAAGAAAAUGACGGUACCUGACUAAGAAGCCCCGGCUAACUACGUGCCAGCCGCGGC
Molecule: ribosomal RNA, 499 nt
Filed under: uncultured bacterium
Lineage: Bacteria
Description: bacterial SSU rRNA
Rfam family: Bacterial small subunit ribosomal RNA
Source: RNAcentral